This is a small nucleolar RNA of Tachyglossus aculeatus (Australian echidna), 138 nucleotides long. The record is from RefSeq and is a predicted model, not a curated record. NCBI's taxonomy places the organism in Eukaryota, Metazoa, Chordata, Mammalia, Monotremata, Tachyglossidae.
GACCUCUCAGGGUUGCAGCUGGAGAAUUUCCAGUACUCUACCAGUCUCGACUACAGGAGGGAGAGUCAAGCAGAGGCAUAACCAUUCCAUUCCUAGCUUGGGCAGUGGCUAGCGAGGGGAAGAAAAUCUGCUAGAAGU